Molecule: long non-coding RNA, 8152 nt
Filed under: Homo sapiens (human)
Lineage: Eukaryota; Metazoa; Chordata; Mammalia; Primates; Hominidae
Description: long non-coding RNA NONHSAT193899.1
Source: RNAcentral
UCUAGAUCUAGGAUCCAGGGUGGGAGGGGCUCUGAUGAGACCAGGGUUCAGCCAGCUGGGAAUACUGCUGGUAAGAUCGGGUACCACUGAGUGGGAAGGUCUGGGAUGACACCCAGAGUCCAGGCCUUCUAGAUGGGAGACAGAGAUUCUCCAGUUCAGAAGGGCAGAGGGUCUAGCCUGGACAAAGGGAAUUGCCAGUCAGAACUGUCUCCAGGGGCCUAGCCCCUCAGGCAGGGCACAGGUGGGGUGGGCGCACAGAUGGCUGGUGGGCAGCUCUGGUUACAGGCAAUAGUCACAACAAGACUAAAAUCCCCUUAUUUCUAUGAACGCUGGGGCAUAAGCUGUGAGAUGGCACAGUGAAGAUCCACUGGCAGAGGCCAGUGCUGCCAGGAGGAGAGAGGAGCCCACUCUCACCUCUCAGAGGAGGUGGGGGCUGUGGCCAGAGGGCCAGAAGGUCCUGAGCACCAAGCCAUCUGGCCUGGUGCCCCUGGACUUUUCAGCCUCAGGAAAGAGGCCCUUUCAAGCCAAGGAGGUGAGGACUAGCACAGGAGGGGAGCCUGAGGCCAAGGAAGAAAUGGCAUAGCCAUAGUCAUAGGGGAAUGCUGGCUGGUGGGAGGAUCCUGAAUUGUCUGUGUUAGGACUGGUCCUCCUGGGGCUGGGUAGAGCUGGAGGCAGCCUCUCUUCACUUGGGCUAGCUGCCUAGGCUCAUACUCAGACCUGGCCACAUCCUCAGCCCUGAGAUGGGACCUACAGCUGGGGGACCUCAUGUACCUACCCACCCUCCUUCCUUCAUCAAAUGUUUGCUAUGUGCUGACUCUAGGCCAGCCACCUUGGGAUUGGCUACUGGGGCAGGAAUGGGGAGCAAUGAGCAGGCAGAGAUGAAGGCCAGCACCUCCAGAGGCUCAUGUCCUUAGAGUCCAGACAGACACAGGCCCAAGGAGUUCUCUCCAAAGAGUAGGCAGAGAUAAAUCUCAGGAAGAGCCAAGGCCAAGGGCCAAGUCAAGCUCACUAGUUCAAACAGGUGGUGGUCCCCACCCACUCCCUCACUGGUCAGAAGUCUGGGGGCAGGCCAGAUUUCCGUUGGCAAAUGAUAGGAAAAGGGCAUUCCAGGUGGUUGGACCGUGUGAGCAGAGGCUGGGGGCCAGGACGUAGGAUUCAAGAAUACUAUGCUCUGGCCUGAGGUAUUUGGGUGGGCUCUGGGCAGCUCAAGGAAGGGGCUGGGGACUCUAAUCACUUGUGAAAAAGUCAAGGCAUUCCUCUAACACCCAUUUAGCAAAAAGUUCCUACAGUGUGCCAGGCAUGUGGUUUAUAGGUUGGGGAUUCAGUAGGGAUCAAAACAGAUGACGUUCAAGGGAGACAGAGACACAGCAUUUUCAGAUGCUAACAGGUACCACGGAGAAGAUUCUAACAUGGUGAUCUAGGAGGCGAUCUAACAGGGCUAGGGCCUAGGAGGAGACUUUAGGGCGUGGGGCCAGAGAAGGCUGCAAUGAUGUUUAAGCCAAGAUCUGAGUGAUCCAAAGGUCAGGGGGAAGAGCAUUCCAGGCAGAAGGAGUAGGCAGUGUAGAGGCCCUGAGGCCUGUGAGGUCCUGAAGGGCAGCCCACGUCAAUGGGGCAAGGAGAAGGGAAAGGAGGUGGAUGGGACCAGCGAGGCAGGUGGGGCUCUGUCGGUUGGGCUAAGGCCUGUGGACUUUAUUCUAAGUGCCAUGGGAAGUCAUUGGAUUUUGAACUAGGGAGUGGUUUUUUCCCUUAAAUCACUGUGACAGCCUCAUGGAGACCAGAUUGUGGAGGCUCCAUGAAGACCAAGGGAGACACUGUCGAGAUGAGAGAGGAUGGUGGCCAGGAUUGGGUGCUUGCUGGGAGGUGGUGGGAAGCUGGCAUUUGGGGAUGUUAUUUGGAGGCAGAGCCAACAGGACUUCAGGAAGGGUUGGCUGUAGGGUGUGAGAGAGGGUUGUCCAGGGCAGUUCUUCAGUUUCUGGCUUAAGCACAUGAGCAAAUGGCAUGGCCAUUUUCAGAAGAGGGGGAUGCUGGGAAAAGCAGACCAGGGAGAGGGAAAUCAAGGGUUCUGGGUUGUCUGUGUUAGGACUGGGACUCCUGGGGCUGGAUAGGGCUGGAGGUGCCAAGGGAAACAGUUGUCAGAUAUAAGCCUAGAGUUCCAGAGAGGGGGUUGCCCCAGAGAUUGAUCCAUCUUUAGCAUAGAGAUGUAUUUUGCUUACACAAGGGACAGGGUACCCCUCCAGCCCCAGGAACCCAGAGAUUCAAAUGAGCCAUUGAUCUGGAGCCAUUGAUCAAUGAGCCAUUGAUCUGGAGGCCCCAGCAGGGUCAAGGCCAGCAGGGGCCAGCAGGGAAGGACCCUGCUCUUGAAGCCUCCCCCAUAUCUGUCUAGUGAACCAAGACCACCUCACCCCACCCCAAAGCUAGAGAAGUUGAUGAUGUAAACUUGGCUUUCAGGAGCCAAGGCCCAACUGGGGGUGGAAGGUGCUGCCGUAGGGACCCUGGAGGCCAGCUGUCUAAGUGAUCCUCUGCUUAUCCUAGCCUGGCCUGGCCUGGUGUGAAAGAGUCUAGACUCCACCCUGACAGGACCCCGUCAUGGCUUAAAGUGCUCCUUCAAAGGGCCUGAGAGCCAUUCACGUCCAUUGCCACCAGUUAGCUGUGUGUCCUCAGGCAAGCCCUUCAUCUCUCUGUGCCUUCCCAUUAUAGGCAGUUGGAAGAGUAACUCUCUGAGCCCAUGUCCUCCCCUGUCAGAGGUCUGUGAAUGCAAAAGCUAGCCAGGUCAUGCCUGUUACACCCCCAACUGAGCAAAGUGUGGCUUCAGCCCCAGCUCAGACGGGGCAGUGGGAAUGAUGGGAGGCUGGAGCUGGGUGGGCUGCUGUUCUUGCAGCGUGGCCCGUGGCCCCUGCCUCACCCAUCCUCCUGUGAUUCUCAGCUCUUUGGGGCCCGCCCCAGGCAGACAGGCAUCACCUCCUGAGUGUCUCUUCUUCAGGGAGAGGAGGUGGUUGCCACCGCCACCGCCAAAGCCAUCCUCCGGGUCCUGUGCUCCUCCAUGCCAAGCACAUUAGGGGAUAAUUAAGUAAAAAUAGGCAUUCCGACCAGUGUAGCUCAUUAAGGCCUAAUUAAGUUAAUUAGUUCCAGGUGUGGAUGGCGAGGCUCAAGUGAGGCGGCGGCUGUUGUUUGCUGUAAUUGCAUUUUCGCAGCAGCAGUGAUGGUGACAGUAAUGGUGUGGCAGAGACAGCGGCUUUCUCUGAGGCCUGGAAGCCCGCCAGGAAGUUCAGGAGGCUGUCGCUGAGCUGGGAGGGGUACGAGGAAGCCAGGGGCCACACAGAGAGAGUGGUGACUGGAGGUUCAAGGUCUCCCAGGCCCAGGGAGGCCCUGCUCCGUCUCUGUGUGGGGGAGGUUUUGUGUAUAUGUGUGUGUGUGUGUGUGUGUGUGUGUGUGUGUGUGCACAAAGCCACAAAGAGGCAUCUUCCCCUCUGGUUGAGUAGGGGAGGUGCACUGUGGCUGGUCUUUUGGCCUUGGGCUCAGUUCCCUCACACCCCAUCACAGUCCCCAGGAAAGACUUUAAAGUGACUUUGCUAAAAGGGAAUCUGUGGGCCAGAGGGAGUGGGAAAGACCUCUAGGAAUCUGCCUCACUCACUCUAUUUGGCUUGAAUCCCCCAUUCCUGUCCCUUCUGGCAGGUGCAUGGAUCUUAAGCUGUCGCCUCUUUGUGAUUCAGGGCAGGAGUGGGGGCUACGCAAGUCCAGGCCUCCACAGAGGACCUGUUGGCUCAGUUAGUCUCCUGACCCAAACGUCUCCCUCAGUCCACUUUCUGUCAUGGCUUCUGGACUCAGCUGUCCUUGGGGACCUGCCUGUGUGGGACAGCCCUCUCAGCCUCAGUCACACUCACAUUCAUACAUUCAUGCUUGCAUGCAUUCAGCUGUUGCUCACUGAACAUCUCCUCUGUGCCAGGCAGCAGGACCAGGGGAUGGGAAUAUAGGCUGGGCAAGACAGGUUGGACUCUGUCCCAUGGCACCUUUGGUCUCUCCAAGGAGGCAGACAUGUUAAUGACUCUGGCCACACAAUUUUGCCAUGGCUGUGGGCACCUAGGGGUGUUUAACCCAGUCCUGGGAGGAAAGAUGUCCAAUCUGCAGUGAAUGUGAUGCAGGAGACAGGGGGACAGGGUGUGUGUCAGGAACUGAAAGGGCUUCCCUCUGGCUGGAGGACAGCAUGAGGGCACUGAGUGGGGAGAGUGGGGCCAGAUCAGGGAGGACUGUGGGGCUGCUGGGUAGAAAAUGAACUGGCACUGGUGACUGGGAGGCGAGGGAGGAGGUGGCCAGGGCUGCAUCUGUGGAUCCAGAGAGGAGUGGAUAGAUUUGAGGGAUAUUUAGGAGGAGAACCGAUGGGGCUUGCUGCACUGGUUGGGUGUAAGGGAUGGGGUAGGAGGAGGCUGUCAGCCUUGCAGAGAGGGGCCUUGGGAGUGGGGUUGGGCUCUGAGAUGUCCCCACAGGCUGGGACUAGGAUGAGACAAGGGAAGUGCCUGGGGUGAAAAAUUGGGGGAAUUCGCUACCAGCCUUGUGUUCCCCCUUGUGCCUCUCUCAGGUGUCCUGAAAUUUCUCGCUAAGAAAGACACAUCUUGGAAAGUGGAAGCCGCCCCUGGAGAUGGGACAAUGGGGGCAUAGUUCUCAGCAGGGUGUGCCCCCUGGGCACUUCAACCCCUACCUGGGAGGUGCUGUCUUCUCUAUACCUUCCAGCACUGGGCUGGGGCCAGGAUUGACACCUUAGGGCUCAUUUGCUCCUGAUAGGUACUCUCUUUCCAUUCAGGUGUCCAAAUGACAGGAAAGGUGCCCAUUCAGCUUCCCCUGUCAUGCCUCCCAUGACAGGGAGCUCCUGCCAUCUGGGCAGCCCAGUCCUUUGGUUGGGACCAUUAUAAAAAUAUUGUAUCAUGAGCCCAAAUCUGUCUUCUUCCAACAGUUGACUCAGCCCUGCCUCCUACCCUCCCCUACUACCCAGGCCAAGUCUGCCAAUCCCCUUUCCCCGACCAGCUUCACCUCUCAGAGUCUCAGUGUCCCCACCUGCAAAAAGGGAAACAGUAAUAGCUACCCCCUUCUAGGAUUGGUGUGAGGAUUAAAUGACAUGUGUAUAAACCUCAUGGCAUAUGCUAACUUUUCUAUUUUAUUUUUCAGAGACAGGGUCUAACUGUGUUGCCCAGGCUGGAGUGCAGUGGCAUGAUCAUGGUUCCCUGCAGCCUUGACCUCCUGGGCUCAAGCGAUCCUCCCACCUUAGCCUCCCAAAUAGCUGGGACUACAGGCAUACGCAUGUCACCAUGCCCAGCUAAUUUUAAAAAAUUUUUUGUAGAGAUGGGGGUCUUGCCAUGUUGCCUAGGCUGGCCUCAAACUCCUGGGCUCAAACAGUCUUCCUACCUUGCCUCAAACUCCUGGACUCAACAGUCCUCCUACCUUGGCUUCCCAAAGUGCUGGGAUUACAGGUAUGAGCCAUCACACCUGGCCACAUGCUAAUUGCUUAGUAACUGGUUCCUAACCCAUAGUAAGGAUGAAUAGCUGCAGAGGUGGACGCUGUGCUCCUUCUGGCUUGGGCUGCCCAGUCAUACAGUCUUGUACCACUGGUACAUCAAUGGUACCCAUCUGUUGGCCCCAGGUAGCUGACCCUGCCACCACCCCACUCACAUCCGGUGUAGAUGGAGAGCUAAUCGCAGAGAAGAAUGUCCAUGGGGAAGAAGUGACAUUUUCUUGGGAUGGCAAAGCCACAAUGACGUGCAGGGUCUGCCCGGCUGGUUAUUGAAUCAGUUCUCUGCUCAGCCCCAGCCCCUCCCCUCUGGUCCCCCUGCUCCUCAAGUCUCUCAUUCAGGGGUACGAGUGGACCUGCCAUGCCUGUGAAAUGGCCCUGGUGGUGGGAGUCCCUCCUGAGCCUGAGGGCCCCGCUGAGCCCCAGAUCCCUUGGAGGGUAGCAGACCCUUUAGAAACGCAUCAUUGUCUGGGGUGCCCAUACUUUUCCCACAAGGCUGCAGGGUGUUGAGGCUGGGGCGAGGGGCUUGCAGGAACCCCUGGCUUCCCUCAAAGAUCAGAAGAACCACCCAAGAAAGGACAAAGCCAUCCCACUGCCUUUUCCCAUGCGUUCCCAUCCCAGAGCCUCUGUCUGCAGCAACAAAACUGGCUUCUGCAGUGCUCUCUGCUUCUUCUGUUUCUCUGUUGAAAACCAGCGCUUGUGUCAAGGAGGAAUUCUUUAGAUUUAAAGGACAGUGGUGACCAUCCUCCCCGAGCCCUGGUCACCGGGGACCACCAGGUUCCUGUUGGAGGACAGAGGGCACCACAGGGGAAGGCAACAACAGGGGCAAAGGAAUGCCCAGAGCAUGGGCAGGGCAGCCAUUCAGGCAAUGCCGUGUCAUGUGGGUGGGCAGGGGCGAUGGGUGGGAACAGGGUGGGUGGUGUUUGUGGGAUUGACAAUGAGCUGGUGUUGUGCAGGGCAGGCCUUACCUCCUUCUCACCCCAACUGAGGGAGGGUUGACUGUUUCUACACACCCCCUUGUUUUUCACACCCGGGACUUGGCCCUAAGGGACUUUCCCAAAGGCACACAGCUGGUGGGGCCUGAGGGAGGAUGACGGAGGUGUGGGCCCCCUCACACCCCUGUUGAGUCCUGCUGGCAAGGCUCCUCCCUAUGGGGGCACCAGGAGAGAAACAACUGUGAGGCUCAGUUUGUUUGGUUUGGAGGCCUAAUACCUUGAGGCCCUGCGCCUCCAGGAGGUCUGGCUCUGCCACUGGCUCACUGUGGGUGUGACCGGGACCGGGGCCUAGCUUUGCCCUAUGCCUCAGUUUCCUCAGUUGCACAAAGGAGUUAAGUUCUGGGUUGGCUCAUGCUUUUUUGCCUCCCAGGGCAAUGGCGCACCCGGGGAGAGGGGUCAUCUGCAGUUGCAGUCACAGAUGGGAAAAUGAGGCCCAGAGAUGAGACAGUUUACUCUGGGGCCAGCAGACUCAGUUCUGAGCAUGUGGCCAGCAGCCAGGAGAGGAGACUGCAGGGGGAAAUGCCAGCAAAGCCCAGCCUUUUUGCAUCUCCAGUUUUCUUUAACCUGCCCUCCAGCCCUCCUUUGCCUGAGUUCACAACUCAACCCCAGCUGCGUGUAUCCUGACGCAAGGCCCCCUUCCCUCCACCCAGCAAUUAUGGCUGGUCACAAAAGCUGGACCGUGACCAGACAAAGGGACAGGGAUGAAAGUGCUGGUUGUCAUGGCAACCUGGUGGGGUUGCUGGGACCCAGGGGAGGGGCUGGCUAUGUGCCUGAGCCCAGGCAUCAGGACGAGACCUGUGAGCAUGAGCCAGGGCAGCCUGACGGCCCACAGGGACCCCCCUCCUGCUCUGGGCCCGCCAAAGCCGGGCAUACAAUGGCAACCUCAGCCCCUCCAUGGGCAGCACCUGCUCCCUGGGCCUCCCCCAGUGGCCCCAUUAUCCUGCACCUGCUGACCACCGCCCCCCCAACCUGCUUCCCAGCCCAAGCUCCCUCCCCAGGGCAGGCCCUGCCCAUCCUCAGGCCCACCUGCCUUCUCUGAGAGCCAGCCAAGAGGGCUGGGGAACCAGGAGGGAUAGCAGGGAAGGCCCUGGGCAGGGACCGAGGGUCCAGCUGCCAAGCCAGCUCUGCCUGGCCAGCAGUGUGUGUGCCUGCAAAACAAGGCUUUGCUCCAGGACCUCAGUCUGCUCACCUGAAAACUGGGAGCAUCCAAUCCUGCCUUCAGGGUCUGCAAGGGCCAGUUUCUCUCUGCUUGGAGGGAGGGCUGAGGCCAGGUUGGGAAGAGAACAGACGGGGGUAUCUUGGGUCAUAUUUUCAGGGCCGCAUCUGUUGGACCACAUGGAGACCUGAGUCCUUACUGUACACUUCAGAGUCACUGCUUAGGUUUGGAGAUGACAUUUUCCAGAGGCCUCCAAGGAUACAGAGGAAGUGGGCAGGAGACCCAGUAUUGCCACGCUUUUUUUUUUUUUUUUUGAGAUGGAGUCUCUCUCUGUCACCCAAGCUGGAGCACAGUGCCACGAUCUCGGCUCACUGGAACCUCUGUCUCCUGGGUUCAGGCAGUUCUCCUGCCUCAGCCUCCCAUGUAGCUGGGACUACAGGGAUGUGCCACCACGUCUGGCUAAUUUUCGUAUUUGUUUUGUUUUGUUUUGUUUUUUGAGACGGA